AUUUAUUUUAAAAUAGUAUUUCAUUUAUAUUAUAAAGAAUCAUAAUAUUUUUAAAAUGAUAUAUUUUUUUUUUCAUUUUGUUUUAAAAUUUUGACAUUUUUGCAUCAAAUAGAAUUGAUAUACGUAUACAUGUAUCACCACGUGAUUAGAAGUUUCAUUCAGUCGAGUAGUAGUAUAAUAUAAUAAUUUCAGAACAACUUGUCGACAAAAAAAGAGUGGGGACUAAAAAAGGAAUCUCAACACGCAAAAUCCAGUAAAGUUAGAAGGAUAGACGAAGAUGUGACAGAGAUCAGUAAGGGAGGACAGAGGGGGAAAAGGAGACGUGAACACGUGAUCAAGAACAAGCAUUCGCUCGUCUCACCUGCAAACAGAGGUCGAAAUCUGGGCAUUCUACACAUCUUACACGUAAACCCGAGAUGUCCUCUUGACAAUAGUUUGUCGAGUGGCAAUCGGUAUUCCCUUUGUCGAUGUAAAUACAUACCCGCCAUUAUUGUCCUGCAGGGUUCUUCCAGAACGAUCCGGAUGACGUCACCGCAUGCCAGAAACCCAUAAGUUUAUCACGUACACUGAACGUGUAAGCUUGACCCCAUUUUUUCCGCGAAAUCGUAUGAAAACGCGGAAAAAUCGUGAUGCGUCCUUCUGGACGCUCUAAUUAUCGUGUGUAAAUUCGUUAAAAAUCUCUAUGGAAAAAAUGUUGUUUACGACUGUUGCGUCGCGAAACGAGUACGCAUGCGUUCCUCUCCUACCAUUUAUGAACUACAUUUCAGGUUCGCCAACUGUGCGAUAAUAAAAGAAAGUUGCAUUUUUGUAUCGGCGCGAAUUUAAAUAAAUAAUUAUAUUUUAACAACAUUCAUUUUUUUUUGUUUGUAUGAAGUUAUAGAGUUGAACAUCAAUUGAAAUGAUAUAAGAUAUUAAAUAAAGUGAUACAAAUUAAUAUAGUCUUGGAAAUAUCGUAAAAUGUUUUGUAUUACUCGAUUAAAAUUUUUCCAUAAGAAUAUUAUCUUAUUAAAUCGAUCAAUUUGUUUGGGACGUCCAUAUUUAAUUGAAGACAAAGCGUUAAGAAAUUUGAAAUUAAAACAAGCAAAAAUGCAGUGUGAAGAUAAUGUUCCUGUAUUUCUGAAAUGCGGUUGGCGAGAUAAAAUAAUAUAUUGGAC
Apis laboriosa (Himalayan honeybee) is the source of this 1154-nucleotide long non-coding RNA. RefSeq lists it as uncharacterized. NCBI's taxonomy places the organism in Eukaryota, Metazoa, Arthropoda, Insecta, Hymenoptera, Apidae. The transcript is spliced from 4 exons. The record is from RefSeq and is a predicted model, not a curated record.